Molecule: small RNA, 82 nt
Filed under: Flavobacterium sp. FPG59
Lineage: Bacteria; Pseudomonadati; Bacteroidota; Flavobacteriia; Flavobacteriales; Flavobacteriaceae
Also listed under: 1 other name
Description: Flavo-1 RNA
Rfam family: Flavo-1 RNA
Source: Rfam by way of RNAcentral
AGUGAAUUCCAUUUGAAGUGAAAAUCCUUUAUUUCCGCCUUUUCGGCGGAUAUAAAGAUUGUAACGGAUAGCAGGAUUAAGC